RNAcentral lists this ribosomal RNA (106 nucleotides) under Cavia porcellus (domestic guinea pig). Lineage: Eukaryota; Metazoa; Chordata; Mammalia; Rodentia; Caviidae. The record is from RNAcentral.
UCAAAAAGAAAUACCACCCUCAAUACACACGAUCUCGUUGGAUCUCGGAAGCUAAGCAGGGUCGGGCCUGGUUAGUACUUGGAUGGGAGACCACGCUAUCUUUAAC